GAAGUCUAUAGAUGUUGGUUCUGUUCUUGCUCCUAUAGACUAGAAUCAAGUUGACUAUACACUUCUUCGCGAAGCACGAAGCCAAAAGAGGAAGGCAGUCGACUCCCCACCAUGGAAUGGUUAGGGCGGUCUUGACCAGGAGAUUCAAAAUCUUUGUCACACCCGGAUUUAAGGAACAAAGUCAGGUGCAUCUCAUAUAUGUGCCAGAAAAGACAACACAUAUAAUAACAGAGUGCAUAGAGAUAAAUGUCAUAAAUAUCAUAAAUGUACUUAUUACAUAGCGGAAGUCUUACAAAAAUAAAUGAUAAAAUAAAGCGAACUAUAUAUUAUUCCCUGGCGCCACAAAGCUGACUAGGAGACGCCACCUAGAUCAAGUCGAAAGCCUCAGUGUUAGGCGGCUCCUCUUCGACCACCCGUUCUUUUCCUAUGGGGGUGUGAGACAACAAGAGUGAGCUCACAUACGAUCAUAGCUCAACAAGUUGUGGGGAAUCAUGUGCAUGAACUCACCAAAGGUGGGAGUUCAUGUGAAGUGUAAGGCUGAUCAACAAAAUAAAGGCUGAAGCUGAGAAUUACUUUUAUAAGUUGGUCAAAAUUUUAUUAGCAAUUACUAAGUAUAAGUAAAUACCAAACCUUAGUAAAUAAAAGUAAUAAUAAAAUAAUCCCAAAUGCGAUGCAAAUGACAAAUUGAGUUUUAAUUCCAUAGAUUAAUCAUGUGAGGGUCCGAGCUGCUCAUGACCGUGAGCACGGCUAGUAUACCAGUUUUACACUCUGCAGAGGUUGCACAUCUUUACCCACAAGUCAUGUUACCCAUCUGCCAAGAGACGGCCAAUCCCAUACACCUCUACCGAGGAGGCGAGGCAGGGUAACACUACGAGGCCUUUACAAAGUUCCACUAGCUUCAGAAAUCCCGCUACAGUUUAUAGGAAGCUCCAGUGCAGGAAUCCCUCGCCUGACCGUCAUCGCAGCAAAAUCAACCCAAGGACUUCCCUACACUGACCACUCCCCUACUGCCCUUGCCCCUUUUGGGUAAGAAAGUCAUCCACUAGCUUUCCUAGUUAAUCAGCCAAGUGCAUUCCAUACUACCCUUGUGGUAGCACUGUUUUCCCGGGUGGUCGCUCCAUGUUCCCAUUAACAUAAUGAUCUUAACAUGAACAAUAAUAAUAAACAAAUAAUAAAAGUGUAAUCAUGAAUAGUGUACCUCCAUACCCAAACCACAAUAAGCAAUAGCAAGUACUACCCAAAAAUAUUCAGUGGCAAUAAGGUAUAAAGAUUGCCAAAACUGGGGUAACCUAUUGGUUCCCAUCAAAAUUAACCUAUGCAGAUCAUUAUGAAUAUUAAGAACAUGGCUGAGAAAAAAUAAGUGAUCAAGGGCACAACUUGCCUGACACUUGAGAUUCCAGUUACCAGGGUGAUUCUUCAGAUCCUCGUGACCGCACUGCUAGUCGUAGCAAUACAAACAAACAUGGUGUAGACAAAAUUAACAUCACACCAUACAUAAGAACAAACUGCAUAAUCAUGAUCUACGCGUGGCUAUGAGAUCGUGGGAACGAGAACCACUAAAAUCGGAGUCAUGGUUAAGGAGCUAUGAUUUUAUAGAGGCUUCAUGUGAUUAAAAUAUCAAACUAUAUCAUAAAUUGGUUAAUAUAAAUCAUUUGAGAGGUUAUUCUCUAAAUAACUAUCUACACUUUAAUCCACAUUAUAAAUUGACCUUAGAUCAUAUUUUAGUAGAUUAUAAUGGUGAGUAUAUUAACCAAACUAACCAACAUAAGUUAAAUAAAGAUCUAAUUAUAAAAGAAUAAGACAUGGUAUAGUAAAUGUUGUUAUUGCAUAGUAAAUAUUUAUACGAGACUAACGCAACUGGAACGAGUCAAUUAGGAUUUAAAACGAAAGGGUUAUGAAUUUCUGAAGGUUUUAUGUAUUUGAUACAUGAUUAAUUAGAAUAUAAAUUUUGAUGUGACUUAAUGUCGAAAACAGAGGUACUAUGUGAUAAACAAUAAUAUUAUAUAAUUAUAGAAAUUGGAAUGAACUAAUUUGGACAUUAUAUGAAUUUUCUAUGAAUUAAACAAUUCUUUGGAUUUGUUUUUAUAUUCAAAAUUCAUUUUCUAUAUUAAUUUCUGAAUUUACUAAGGAUCCUGGACUGGGCGCAAUAUUACCGAGAAGUUUAGGGACUAAAACGGAAACAUUCCUAAGACUCAGGCUUAACCAUGCAGUGGACCGCGAGUUGAUAUUGGUAAAGUUCAAGGGCUCUUUAGCAAAAGCGAUCGACCGACCAACCGCGGCGCAAACACGACCAUUGGAUCUGAUAUCUAAGGUUAAAAACAGACCGCGAACCGGUAUGCACCCACAACGGUUGAAUCCAGAAUCAACGGCCGUGGUUUAAUGAAACGAGAUUGAAUCUGGGUCAUGGAAUCCUGAUCGAACGAUCCGAAGUGAUCCCACCGAAGGGGUAUAAGUGCGCCUAAUCGCAACCGCCCGAUAGGGAUCGGACGGCCAGGAGUCGUUCUCCUUCCCCGAGAUCCCCGAUCGGACGGCGCGGUGACCCGCCGUAGCGGCGCCAUGGGCAACCAUCGUGCGGAGGUCGCUCCCGAGUAGGGACCCCAAAUACUAUUGUGUAAAAACAAAUUUCGGGUCACAAAGGAACAGACAGGAGGAAUCUCACCGUUGAUUGCCGCACGAACAGCCCCGGCCACGACAAAGUGUGGUUCCGCGGCGGUGCUAGAUCUCCGGCGAGGAAUUAAAGACGUCCCGAGGGACACCCCAUUAUGGCGCGGCCAUAGAAACGUUCCUCGCGCCAUGGCGAAUCUCCCCGACUGGUCCCCGAUGAUUCGACGUACGCUUGACCGCGAAUCAGCCAUGGCGGCCGCAGUUCUCUCCUCUCUCUCGCGUUCUUUCUACCGGUGUUAACGAUGACCUGGGGUUUUGGGGAGGCGCGACGGCUAGUGCAGUACGCGGCUCCCCUGGCGGCGUGGAUUUAUACAGCGCCUGGGUAGCGGCCAAACCGGAGGGUCGCAACGACCGUGACAUGCC
RNAcentral lists this long non-coding RNA (3027 nucleotides) under Zea mays. RNAcentral's name for it is "long non-coding RNA (ZMAY_LNC005501)". The record is from RNAcentral. Lineage: Eukaryota; Viridiplantae; Streptophyta; Magnoliopsida; Poales; Poaceae.